GACGAACGCUGGCGGCGUGCUUAACACAUGCAAGUCGAACGGAAAGGCCCUGCUUUUGUGGGGUGCUCGAGUGGCGAACGGGUAAGUAACACGUGAGUAACCUGCCCUUGACUUUGGGAUAACUUCAGGAAACUGGGGCUAAUACCGGAUAGGAGCUCCUGCCGCAUGGUGGGGGUUGGAAAGUUUCGGCGGUUGGGGAUGGACUCGCGGCUUAUCAGCUUGUUGGUGGGGUAGUGGCUUACCAAGGCUUUGACGGGUAGCCGGCCUGAGAGGGUGACCGGCCACAUUGGGACUGAGAUACGGCCCAGACUCCUACGGGAGGCAGCAGUGGGGAAUAUUGCACAAUGGGCGGAAGCCUGAUGCAGCAACGCCGCGUGCGGGAUGACGGCCUUCGGGUUGUAAACCGCUUUCGCCUGUGACGAAGCGUGAGUGACGGUAAUGGGUAAAGAAGCACCGGCUAACUACGUG
Molecule: ribosomal RNA, 468 nt
Filed under: uncultured bacterium
Lineage: Bacteria
Description: partial 16S ribosomal RNA
Rfam family: Bacterial small subunit ribosomal RNA
Source: RNAcentral